CAGUCGCCGCGGUAAUACGAGGGGGGCAAGCGUUGUUCGGAAUCAUUGGGCGUAAAGGGUGCGUAGGCGGCUUGACAAGUCUUGUGUGAAAUCUAUGGGCUCAACCCAUAGUCUGCACGGGAAACUGUCGGGCUUGAGAAUGGGAGAGGUGAGUGGAAUUUCCGGUGUAGCGGUGAAAUGCGUAGAUAUCGGAAGGAACACCUGUGGCGAAAGCGGCUCACUGGACCAUUUCUGACGCUGAUGCACGAAAGCUAGGGGAGCAAACAGGAUUAGAUACCCCAGUAGUCCCUGUCUCUUAUAC
Molecule: ribosomal RNA, 301 nt
Filed under: uncultured bacterium
Lineage: Bacteria
Description: partial 16S ribosomal RNA
Rfam family: Bacterial small subunit ribosomal RNA
Source: RNAcentral